CUUGUUAGUGUCUGCAAUAAUAUAAUUCCAAUACCGACAGUUUGAACUGUAUCCAAUAAGCCAAGAUAGAGCCACAGCAUUCUUGAUAAAUAGGGUGCACCUUUUCCUAAAAACGGUACGUAUAUGCCAAUAUUUGACGUGCCCCAUAAUGUUUGUAACCAGCGAGGAGCUCCAAAUCCUAAUCCCAAAAUAGGUAGGAUCCAAGAAUGGUAUCUGGACAAAGAAGCAAGUAAUGCCACCAAAGCAAUCCAUAUAGCAACAUAAAACAAAAUGACUAGUAAAAACAUAGCCCAUUUAUGUACAUUAUGUGCAGACCACAUAAAGGCCCACGAUCGACCAUACACCGAUGACAUCCAGUAAUUUUGAAGAAAAACGCUAAUAAAAAACCACAUUAUCAACCGACGGCGAAACAAGGAACGAUAGAAAGCUGGUAUUUUUGAAGGACAUUGUCUGUAAAAAUUAGGCAAACCUCGAUACACAACAAAAGCGAUCGCGAGUAAAACCAAAGCUAUUGGCCAUGUAAUGGCUGCCAUCCAUGGCUGUGGGUUUAAUUUUCCCGAAACUCCCAUUCUAUUUGGUUUAUCCGUUGAGUAAGAACCCCAAUACCAAAGUGCUGCCGACCAUACUUGUUGCGAUCCUUGAAUAAAACAAGCUCUCACAAUCCAAUACAAGAUAUCAUAUCUUCCUUCAUUACCAAAAUUUAAAGAAAAAAACAAAGCUUGACUCCCAGAGGCAAUUGAAUAAAUCCAGGUUGCAACUCGUGAAAUCCAAAGACGUGAAUCACCGAGGCUUGAAAACGUUGUAAGGCCAGCUAAAGCAAACGCAGUAGCGUAAAUUAUGAAUGGGGUUGAAAGUGCGUAAAUAUUGGGUACGAGAGAAUGCAAAAUAUACCAGAAUAGAGAUGCACUGAUAUAAACACUACACACGAUAUAGGAUUGGUAUUCUGGCUGAUCAGGCGUAUCUGA
Schizosaccharomyces pombe (fission yeast) is the source of this 965-nucleotide non-coding RNA. The record is from the annotation of a GenBank genome assembly. NCBI's taxonomy places the organism in Eukaryota, Fungi, Ascomycota, Schizosaccharomycetes, Schizosaccharomycetales, Schizosaccharomycetaceae.